UUCUCUUCCCAUCUUCACUAGAAUUUACCCUUGUUAUUGUAAUUCCAGAGUAAAAUUCAUCUGGAAGCUCGGGUGCAACGGAUUGCCAACGAUGAACAAGCUUGGUCGCAUUUUGUUCCAAGGUCUUGUUGAUUGUGAACACAGUCACAGUUGGUGGAACCGAAACCAACUGUACUUUCCAUGCAACCACAAUUCCAAAGCUACCCCCACCACCACCUCGAAUGGCCCAAAACAGAUCUUCUCCCAUGGAUUUCCUGUCAAGAACUCUCCCGUUAACAUCAACAAGUUGUGCAUCAAUUACAUUAUCGAUUGCAAGACCGUGUUUGCGGAAUAAUAAGCCAUAACCUCCUCCGCUCAAGUACCCUCCAAUUCCAACAGUGGGGCAAAGACCAGCUGGAAAGGCAAGAGUGUUGCUUCUAUUAGCAAUGUUGUAAUACAGUUCUCCUAGAACUGCACCUGAUUGAACCCAUGCAACUUUGUUGUCUACAUCAAUGUCAACUGAUCGUAGAUUAACCAUAUCAACAAUAACAAACGGGAGUUCAGAUACAUAAGAAAGACCUUCAAAAUCAUGGCCACCGCUUCGAGUUCUAAUUUGGAGACCAUGUUUUCUUGAACAAUAAAUUGUUGCUUGAAUAUGGGAAGCAUGGAGCGGUGUUACAAUGACCAAAGGUUUAGGGGUAGAUGGUGUAGUGAAUCUAAAAUUUCGAAUGGUAGCGUUCAAAACAGAAGAAUAGGAAGAAUUAUUUUGUGUGAAGAUAACUCUAGAAAUGGAAGAGGAGUCGUUGGAUUGAAGAGAAAGGCAAUCAAGAAAAGUCUCAUUAGCAUGAGCUGAAGUUGCCCAUAACAAUGAGAAGAGAGCGACAAAAAGAAAUGAUGAAGACGUUGAAAAGUGAAGAGAUUUCAUAUUUUUGAAAGUGAUGAUUUUCGAAACUGAUGGUUUUGUGCAGAGUUUGUGAAGGGCUCCCCUAUUUAUAGAUUUACAUAACCAAAGGGGGAUGCUUUGAGCAGCAAAAAGGCAUUGGAAUUGAAGUUUCUUCAAACGCGGAAUGAGUUUGGAAAUGGGAUGGUCAUCAAUAUAACAUGUUGAUCUAUAUGUCAUCAACUCCUUAAGAAAAUCUUCAUCGUAAGCAGUGAUGGCAUUGGGGGAUUUGACGCACUCAAACUAAAAUUGCCUGACUUUUAUAAUCUGAUCAAAUUGGUAAAUGAAAAAAAUUUCCCAUUGGGUUUUACGCAGCAAAAGCAUGUGAAUAGAACCGAAUUUAAUGACUUUUUGCUUAGCUUUCUCGACCGUCACAUAUAAAUAAAUAAACAAAUAUUAAAAAUUUUUUUUUUUCUCUCUUUCAAAGAGGAUAGUAAUUUAUUGAUCUAUGCCAUCCUGAAAAUCCAAUUAUUCCAAUUAUUCCAAUAAGAUGACAAUUUGGCCUAAAUUGUAAUUGAAAAAUCUACUUUCUACGGGAUUCCAAUUGGCAUGGAAAGGGUAAAAGCAUUCUUCCACGAUAAAAUGAUAUUUUUAUUUCAUGCUUGUAGAAUCUUACAAAUCGAAAUUAAUUUAAAAUUAUCAAAUUUAAGAAUGAAGGUCAUAUAAUCAAUAAUGAGGCAAUCAAUGUGGGAAAACCUACGGACUCAUUUGGUUUUGGAAUUAUUGUUAUAAGUGGGGUUAAAAUGUUUGUUACAUGCCAAUUUAUUUCCCGCUUAAUGUUGACUAUUUGUUGGGUACGUUGAUUUUAUAUUAGAGCUGACUUUUGAAGAGUGUGAGUUUAAGAGAGUUUAUAUGCUUAAUAUCUUCUUUAGUUAGAUAAGUAUAACGAUACGAGAGUUCAACGACGUAUUAGAAAUUAAAAAAAAAAUCUCAUUUAAUUUAUUUUCCUCUAUCUCAUAAAUAUUAUGAGUUCAUUUUAUUUUAAAUAUAUUAUUAAUUAAAGCUUGAAAAAAAAAGAGCUAAACACUUUAAAUGAAAAGGUUUUCAAACAUACUUUUAUAUAAAAAAAGUAGUUUAAUGUUGAAAAUAUAAAUGAUCAAAAUAAGUAGAAAAAGUUGAAGAGAGAAAGGCGAUGGGAAUAAUUUUAUGUUUUCAUGGGUAAGCCAAAGGAGAAAUUUCUCAUAAGACAGAGACAAAGUCCCCCAUAUUAAUAUUUUCAUGUGGAGGUGGGUUCCUCCCAUGAAAGUCCCAUUGCUUGGACGAUGUGCUUGCUAUCAUUUUCAACCAUUUCUAGAUUUCUUGUUUUUAGGGUAAAAGUAUGAGCCUACAACAUAAAAACUCCGACUUUCGUGUAGAUUUCCUUUUUGUUUUACUAUAUAUUUUGGCAAAAUAAAAUUCAACAAUUACUGGCGGUCUAGAUUGGGCAUAAUUCGGGGAACAAAAAUUAACUACUAGUACUUGUUAAUAUUGAAAUAUAUUUUUUGUUCUAUAAGAAAAAAGAAAGUAAAAUAUUAGUAAAAUUAAAAAUAAAAUGAAAAUUUAUUAUUUUUUUCAAAAAAAAAUUUUUAGACUUUUUUUUUUAACAUUAAUAUAUAUAUGUGACAGUAAAAUACUAAAACUAUGUUCACGAAUCAUUUAUAUCAUUAUUAAUAAUUUAUAUGUACUUAAUUUUGGAACCAAUGCACAAAAUCCUUCUCUUUUAAAAAUAAAUUUACUAUUGUGAACCAAAUUUGAAUUUUCAAAUAUAAGACAAAAUAUAAAUAGGUAAAUAAAUAAUAAGCAAAAAAAAAAAAAAAGAUAAAAUUUGACAUAUUCAGUUGAAAACCGCGUGGUAUAUGCAGUUGGGAAUAAAUAUAACUUGUAGAGAAAUUUUUUUUUUUUUUUGGCCAAUGAAAGACUUUAAAUUCUAAAAUUCUAAAUGUGACUUUAAUAAAAGUCUUAAUCAGAAAAUUCUAAAUGUAACUUUCUACUUUCUAUUUGAGGAAAUUAAAUUCAACACGUUUAACACUAUUGAAGUCUUUCAGGCAACAUAUUUUAUCUGAUUUUAUUAAAUUCUUGACUUUAAUUCUUCUUGAAAAUGAUUGUAUUUAUAAAUUAAUUAAAACCAUAUGAUAUCAGGCACGACUUAGUCUAUUGCAUGAAAAGGGUAUGAUUUUGACUACAAAGACUUCUGGAUAAUUUUAAAGCAAAUUCCUGCGCAAUGCCUCCAUUGACUUUUGUUCUUUUUUUUUUCCUUGAAGAAAAUGAAGAUGAAUAUCCAAAGACAGUGAACCUACUCAUCAUCAAACUACGGUCAAAAACUGGAAAAUGAUCUUAGAUAUGAUGGAAAAUCUGUGUCCCUCAAAUUUCUUUUAUUCUUUUCAGAUUUGUUUUAUCCAUCAACACGAAACCCAAAUCAUUAAGAAAAAUCAAAACUGAAAAUACUCAGAAGUUAUUUUAUUUUUAGAGGAAUUUUCAUUUCCGACAUAAGAAUUUUAAAAUCUUCAAAAUUUUCUACAAAAAAUUGUAUCGGUAAUACUUAAAAGAUAGAAAAAAAAAAAAAGAAAAUUCUGUUGAUAAUUUAAAUUUUCGACAAAAAUUAGGCUUUUUUGAAAUAAUUUUCCAUCUCUAAAAGCUUGAUCUCUUUUAGUUUAAAUAAAUUAAUUACACUCUUGUUUAUUAGCUUCUCUUUAAAUUAUAAACACAGUGAGGGAUGACAACAAAUCACCAUCGAGAUGAUAACGGGUCAUUAUGUGGGUGUGUAUUAAACUUUUCAUCCCCAUAUCUGAUUACGUUACUCAACUCAUCUCCAUUUUGAUAUCGCCAAGUAAUACUUUCGUGUAUUUGUCUUCGUACCCGAUAAGUAAACCCGAACCUGCCUCAUUAUGGAAAGUUUGAUAUGUGCCAUUUGAAAUAUGCAAGUAAAAAGAAUAUAAUGAAAUUAAAAAAAAAAAAAACUCAUGAGAAAACCCAUCCUUAUAAAUCUAAAAAUGUAAAAGAAAAAAUAAUAAAAUAAUAAAAUACCUAAAACCUAACCUUACUAAGAUUUUAAUAAAUUUGUUCAAAAUUCAUGUCUUAAAAAAAAAUACAAACAUAAUUUUUUUUUUUGGAAAAACUCUAACAAUCGCCCAUAAAUAUAAAUACAAAAAUUCAUAAAACAUCACUUAUAAUGAAACUAAUUGCAUCAUCCCAUGUAAGGGAAGCAAUACAAAAGGGCUUUAGAUUUUUAUCUCUUGUAGAGUUUAGGGUUUAGGGAUUUCUCUAAGACAAGUAUUCAAACAACGAAAACAUAGGGAAAGGGUAAAAGAAUUUGAUGCUCAUCGACGGUAGUGACAACUUUUAGGUUUUGAUUUAAAAUGGCAUUUUGUGAAAAAAUGGAGAGUUUUCUUUCUUUUAAAAAAAAAUCAAAAGUGAUAGGAUUAUAGAAGAGGCUGAGAGGAGAAUAUGGAUAAAUAUAGGAUCAUUUCAUCAUCAAUGAGUAGAAACGAUGGUAGAAAAUUUUUUAUUUUAAGUUUUGAAAGGGUAAAAGAAUUUGAUGCCUCAUCGACGGCAAUGACAACUUUAAGGUUUUGAUUUAAAAUGGCAUUUUGUGAAAAAAUGGAGAGUUUUUUUUUUUUUAAAUCAAAAGUGAUAGGAUUAUAAAAAAGGCUGAGAGGAGAAUCUGGAUAAAUAUAGGAUUAUUUCAUCAUCAAUGAGUAGAAAUGAUGGUAGAAAAUUUUUGAUUUUAAGUUUUGAUCUACGCUAUUUGAUAAGUUUUUUUUUUUUUUUUUUUUUUUUAUAGAAAUCCAAUUUGAUAAAAAAAAUCAAGAGGAGAAAAAUGAAUUUUUUCUAGUGAAAUUGAUGUCAACAAGUGGUGGCUGAUAGUGAAACACAUUGGUCGGUAGUUGGAAUCGAGAGAGAAAAGGAUGCCUACAAAGGAGUUGGAGAAGGGGGAGAAGAAUAGAGAGACAAGGAGAUAACAGAAAAGGAGGGGAUUUUAUUUUUAGUUUUUAUACUUAGCCUAAAAACCUAAACAAUGAGCUUUAGAUCACAAAAUGCAUUAUAAUUGAUAUUGGUCGGGUAUCAAGUUAGUUGACUCAUGAGGUAGGAUGAGUAACUUAUAGGGCGAGAUGUCAAAGGCAAAACAAAUGACAACAUCAAUGUUAGAUUGGAUGCAACACUCCUUUAUGGACGAAAGGAAUUAGAAUUGGUGGAAAAUAAUGAGAGAACAUCAAAGGCCAAAGCAUCGUGCACUUUAGGCAAGGAGAUCAAAAGGUGGUGUCUGUAUGGUUUUUUGAAUUUCACCAAAGAAUUAGGAUAGUCCUAAAAUCAUUUUUAUAAAAAUUAUUAUAAUUAGAAAAAUAAUAAAUAAAAGAUUUUUCAUAAUUAUUUUAUAUUUGUGUAAAUCAUAUAUGUCAUUUGCAAAUAAAAAAUAUCUUAUGACAAAAUUUCAGAAAUUUUGUAACGGUCAAUUUUUUCAAAAUUUUUUUGAAUAAAAAUAUUUUUUAUAAAUUUUGUCAAAGCAUUGAAGAAUUUAUAAAAUAUGAAAAUAAUAUAAUUUCAUAAUAAAAAUAUUUUUAGAAUUAAAUUUUUGGAGAAUUAAUUUUAAAUAUUGAGAAGACCAUAUUAUCAAAAUGAAUAGAUAAUACAUGUUUAAUUGGUAUUGUUUAUUAAACGGAUGAUAUGAGGUUGUUGAUUCCUUUGUUACUCAUAACUAUUCCUUCCAAAUUCAACCCUAAUUUUGCAUAAAUUUUAAUUAGUUUUAAGGUUUUUAUUAAAAGAUAAUAUUUUAGGUGAUUAAUCACUCUUAAUAAAAAUGAUUAGUGAUAACUCUGUAAAUUUUUAUUAAAUCUAGCGAUUGAGUCCCUUUAAACAAACAAUCAAUAUGACAAUAUAAAAUAUAAAAAUAAAUAAUUUUCAAGUAAAUUAAAAAUAAAAAAAUCCAAGAAAAAAAAUGAAAUAUUGGGGUAUCAUGAUCAAUAAAUCUAAUAACUUUUUCCUUUGUCCAAAAAAAAAAUUGUCUUAAUUAAUCUAAAAAAAUGGUAAUUCAAAUAUAGUUUAUUAUGAUCAAACUCAGUCAAAUCAACAUUAGGCCUUACUAGUUAGUAAUUAACAACAUUUUAAUGAUUAGAAAAAUUAAAUGCUACAAAUAAAUCGCAGUUACUUAUUGUUUAUGAGUAGCAUUUAAUAAUAUAGAUUAAAAAGAUAUAUAAAAUUUGGCUUAUUAAACCGUAAAGAAAGGCCGCCAAUACCUACGGUUGAAGUCGGUCAAGAACAUGUUGAUAAAAUCAAAAGCUCAAAAUCAAAGAUUGAAAGGCGAUUUAUCUACUUACUAUUUGGCCAAAUAUAAGUCAACAAAUAUAAUCAUUUCCUAUUUCUUUCACGCUAAAUCUGCACCACUAUUAAUGCCAUGUGAUUUUUUCUGAAUAAGAAGAUUUAAUUAAUUAAAUUCUUGACUUCAAUUCCUCUUAAAAAUGUCUGUUUCAAGUUAGGACAGACGUCAAUAUCGAUAUCAGAAGUUCGUUCUAAUUCUGGGAUAGGAAGGGUGGGGUUCAUAAGAUGGAAGAGUAAUAUUACAACUUACCUCUUAUUGUAAAACCUAAAAUUCAAUGAUCUUUUUUUGUUAUCAUAAGAAAAAUUCAAUGAAAUUCUUCUUACUUAUCAAAAAGAGAACAUUUAUUUUUAUAUUACACAUUAUAUUAUUAAUUUGCAGACAAAUUUGGGGAGACAAAUUCAAUAAUCUAUAACUAAUUACAAAGCAAAUAUAAAUAACGAUACAAAUUUAAUAAAUAUAUGAUCUACAACUAAUUACAAGGCAAAGAUAAUUAACGGUACAUUUAUUUAAAUAGUCGUAUAACGGAACAAGCCCAAAUGCCUAUAAAAGAAAACCUAAAAAAUUCUUUAUUUUUUUAUACAAAUUCCAAUUAAAUAUUUCUAUAAAAGGUUUAACUCCGAAAGGUUAUUAUGAUUUUUUUUUUCAAUUAAUGAAAAAAAGGAGGAAUACUUUGCUCAUGCCUGAAGAAAUUCUGUGGAUCAACAUUGGUCUUCACACGAACCAACCUGUCAAAGUUGUUCAAGAAAUACUUACGACCCCAUACACUUGCUUGACCGAAGCUUGUGUUUCCUUCGUUAUUCAUUCCGAUGUCAAGAUCCCUAUAAUUGAUAUAGGCUUGCCUUGGAGAUUUUGAAACAAAGGAACCCAUGUAACUAUAAAGUCUUCUAAUCCAGCUUAUAUACCUUUCAGAUAUUAUAUUCUCUUCUUCUUGCCAUCCUGCGUUGUAUACGAUUUUGUAUAAGUUGCCAGCUCUAUGUGGGAAUGGGGUAGCAGUCGAUGGAAUUUCAUCCAUUAUGCCUCCGUAAGCAAUAAAACUUAUACUAGCAGAUGCUCCUUCUUCUUCAAAAAGUCUGGACCACAUCCCUUGAAAUCCAAUUUCGGGAAUGGGUUUCCUCACAUAAUCAGAUUUUGACUUGAAGGAAGGACUAAGAAGAGGACUUUGGUAUGUCCUGUCAAGUAAAAUAUUCAAGGUUUCAUUUGGAAGGCUGCCCAUGUAGAGAAUAGAUUCAAUCCAACUCAUUUCAACGCAGUCUUCCCUCACUAGUCCCAGCUCAGGAAAUCUCUCUUGCAUCAAUGGAACCAGCUCAUCAAUCCCACCAAGAAACGAGGCAUGAAAGGAAGCUAGAAUUGUUCUCUUCCCAUCUUCACUAGAAUUUACCCUUGUUAUUGUAAUUCCAGAGUAAAAUUCAUCUGGAAGCUCGGGUGCAACGGAUUGCCAACGAUGAACAAGCUUGGUCGCAUUUUGUUCCAAGGUCUUGUUGAUUGUGAACACAGUCACAGUUGGUGGAACCGAAACCAACUGUACUUUCCAUGCAACCACAAUUCCAAAGCUACCCCCACCACCACCUCGAAUGGCCCAAAACAGAUCUUCUCC
This 7806-nucleotide long non-coding RNA is filed under the name Durio zibethinus. RNAcentral describes it as "long non-coding RNA (DZIB_LNC001943)". Lineage: Eukaryota; Viridiplantae; Streptophyta; Magnoliopsida; Malvales; Malvaceae. The record is from RNAcentral.